GUGCUCUGUACUUUAUCUGGAAAAGUAUGAAACUGUGAGUGAGUACAAGCCGAAAGAUGAGUCAAUCGAGUUCCUGGUAGUUUUCUUCUUCGUCCUUCAAGUGGCCACACUCGUCCUCACAUUCGCCACAUACUUUGCAUUCCGCGACAACUACAAAAAAAAUCUGUACUUCACUCUGAAGCACCGAUCCAUCGCGGUUAAUCGCAGUGAAGAUCUGGUGUUCGACUGGCGCCACCCUAUCUGGCACAAACUGUUCCCUGGUGCCGUGUUCGACCUCUCCGACAACCACCACAAACUCCUCAUACAGGAG
Molecule: long non-coding RNA, 310 nt
Organism: Symsagittifera roscoffensis
Lineage: Eukaryota; Metazoa; Xenacoelomorpha; Acoela; Convolutidae
Exons: 3
Source: RefSeq, a predicted model, not a curated record